AACAUCACAACUUCACUACUACUUAAAACUAAAAGACAAUAUUUUCUCUCUACGCUAAGCUCAAAUCUAUGAUAUUCUUACCAAGCAAUAUCCUUCUUCUUCUUCUUGAUCUAGCUUCUUCUUUUUUGAAUUGACAAGUGGUUUUAUUCUUAUUACUACUCCAUCACUUAUAGCUGAGGUACAUACUACAUCCUCAUUCUCCGAUCCCUUUUAUUAAUUUUCUCAUAAUAUUGUUUAUAUAUAUAUUUUAAUUCUAAUGUUAGAAAGGACAUUUAACAGGCAGAAAUGAUCAGCAACGUAAAGCUUGAGCCAUCGCUUGAUGAAAACCAGCUGAACUUAGAUAAUAAAAUUAGUGCAAGUUGUGAUAUCACUGUGGACAUGAAAAGUGAUGAAGAGAUUUCUAAGCCAUUUGUUCCUAGUGUUAAGAUAAAGAAGUUUGCUGAUGAUGAUUCUUUACUG
Molecule: long non-coding RNA, 459 nt
Filed under: Aquilegia coerulea
Lineage: Eukaryota; Viridiplantae; Streptophyta; Magnoliopsida; Ranunculales; Ranunculaceae
Description: long non-coding RNA (ACOE_LNC001559)
Source: RNAcentral